Molecule: ribosomal RNA, 1341 nt
Filed under: Triticum aestivum (bread wheat)
Lineage: Eukaryota; Viridiplantae; Streptophyta; Magnoliopsida; Poales; Poaceae
Description: partial small subunit ribosomal RNA
Source: RNAcentral
AUGUUUGCCGCGAACCGGAGCCUGCUGUGGCAGUACGCCGCCGCCGCCGCUGCUGCCGCGCUCCGGCCUCCCGUUGCCGUCUGUCGAGCCCAAUCUCCGGCGGCCAGAGCCAUCAAGAAGCGCAAGAAGCGCCAUGAAGGGGACGCCGUGGGCGUCAAUUCGCUGGACGGGAUCAUUGUCGUCGACCGCAGGCUAAGAGUGGAGGAGGAUCUUGGCCGCGGGGAGAGGUUUCUGGCCGCGGACCAGGGCCCGCCGCCGUGCUCCGCUGCAUCGGCGAUCUGGCCUUCCGUUGCCAUCCGUCGGGCGCGAUCUCCUGCGGCCAGAGCCAGCAAGAAGCGCAAGAACUAUCAGGAGCGCGAGUUCUUGGCCGGCAUCGAGUCGACGUCGCCAUCGCCGUGGGCAGAGGCCGCCGCCGCCUCCUCUCUCCGGCCUCACGUUCCCAUCCGUCGGGCGCAAUCCCCCGCGGCCAGAGCCAGCAAGGAGCGCGAUUUCGCCGUCGUGGACCGCAGGGUGCGAGGGGAGGAGGAUCUUGGCCGCAGGGGGAGGCUGCUGGGCGCGACCAGAGCAAGCAAGAAGCGUGAGGGCGGCGUGUUCUGGGCCGGCAUGGAGUCGACGUCGUGGUCCGCGGCGAUGCCCGCCCCGGGCGUGGACUCGCUGGACGAGAUCGCCGUCGUGGACGGCAAGCUGCGCGACGUCCUGCGCGGCCUCAGCGCCUCCGCCCCGGUGCGCAUCUACGGGAAGCGGCUGUCGAAGUCGGACCGGGUGACCAACCAGCACCGGCUGCUCAUGUCGUGCCGCAGCUGGCGGCAGGGCGAGCCGUUCCCGUUCGACGAGGUGCUGACGGCGGAGGAGAGGCCGUCCGUGCAGGUGCAGGCCUACGACCGCGCCGGCCGGCCCUACGUGCUCGACUGCAAGAAGCUGGAGUGCAACAAGGCGUACCGCCUCAUCGCCGGCUGGAGGAGGUUCCUGACCGAGAAUGGCCUCGCCGUGUCUGACGACGCCAGGGCCGAGGACCUGGAGCCGGCCAUGGUGGAGCUGUGGGCGUUCCGCUCGCCGGCGCUCACCGUGGGCGUGGCCGGCCAGCCGCGCGGCGCGCUCGGGCUCGUCGUCGUGCACUACCGCCAGGGGGACGCCCCGCACGCCGACGCCGCCAUCGCGGAGGUCCUACUGGCAGCGGCCAGGAACAGAGCGGCGAUGCCAUUGCCGGCCGCGGUGCCCGCCCUGGAGCACGCCGUUGGUGACCCCCGUGAGGACGCCAUGGAAGAGGCUGAUGAUGGACGAUGGCCGGACGCGAGGACGCUGGAGGCCGCGGAGGCGUUGCUGAUGCUGAGUGAGAGUUGA